AGAGUUUGAUCCUGGCUCAGGACGAACGCUGGCGGCGUGCUUAACACAUGCAAGUCGAACGGUGAUGUCAGAGCUUGCUCUGGCGGAUCAGUGGCGAACGGGUGAGUAACACGUGAGUAACCUGCCCCCGACUCUGGGAUAACUGCUAGAAAUGGUAGCUAAUACCGGAUAUGACGAUUGGCCGCAUGGUCUGGUCGUGGAAAGAAUUUCGGUUGGGGAUGGACUCGCGGCCUAUCAGGUUGUUGGUGAGGUAAUGGCUCACCAAGCCUACGACGGGUAGCCGGCCUGAGAGGGUGACCGGCCACACUGGGACUGAGACACGGCCCAGACUCCUACGGGAGGCAGCAGUGGGGAAUAUUGCACAAUGGGCGCAAGCCUGAUGCAGCAACGCCGCGUGAGGGAUGACGGCCUUCGGGUUGUAAACCUCUUUUAGUAGGGAAGAAGCGAAAGUGACGGUACCUGCAGAAAAAGCACCGGCUAACUACGUGCCAGCAGCCGCGGUAAUACGUAGGGUGCAAGCGUUGUCCGGAAUUAUUGGGCGUAAAGAGCUCGUAGGCGGUUUGUCGCGUCUGCUGUGAAAUCCCGAGGCUCAACCUCGGGUCUGCAGUGGGUACGGGCAGACUAGAGUGCGGUAGGGGAGAUUGGAAUUCCUGGUGUAGCGGUGGAAUGCGCAGAUAUCAGGAGGAACACCGAUGGCGAAGGCAGAUCUCUGGGCCGUAACUGACGCUGAGGAGCGAAAGCAUGGGGAGCGAACAGGAUUAGAUACCCUGGUAGUCCAUGCCGUAAACGUUGGGAACUAGAUGUGGGGACCAUUCCACGGUCUCCGUGUCGCAGCUAACGCAUUAAGUUCCCCGCCUGGGGAGUACGGCCGCAAGGCUAAAACUCAAAGGAAUUGACGGGGGCCCGCACAAGCGGCGGAGCAUGCGGAUUAAUUCGAUGCAACGCGAAGAACCUUACCAAGGCUUGACAUAUACCGGAAACAUGCAGAGAUGUGUGCCCCGCAAGGUCGGUAUACAGGUGGUGCAUGGUUGUCGUCAGCUCGUGUCGUGAGAUGUUGGGUUAAGUCCCGCAACGAGCGCAACCCUCGUUCUAUGUUGCCAGCACGUAAUGGUGGGAACUCAUAGGAGACUGCCGGGGUCAACUCGGAGGAAGGUGGGGAUGACGUCAAAUCAUCAUGCCCCUUAUGUCUUGGGCUUCACGCAUGCUACAAUGGCCGGUACAAAGGGCUGCGAUACCGUAAGGUGGAGCGAAUCCCAAAAAGCCGGUCUCAGUUCGGAUUGAGGUCUGCAACUCGACCUCAUGAAGUCGGAGUCGCUAGUAAUCGCAGAUCAGCAACGCUGCGGUGAAUACGUUCCCGGGCCUUGUACACACCGCCCGUCAAGUCAUGAAAGUCGGUAACACCCGAAGCCAGUGGCCUAACCGCAAGGGAGGAGCUGUCGAAGGUGGGAUCGGUGAUUAGGACUAAGUCGUAACAAGGUAGCCGUACCGGAAGGUGCGGCUG
Molecule: ribosomal RNA, 1501 nt
Filed under: Clavibacter michiganensis
Lineage: Bacteria; Bacillati; Actinomycetota; Actinomycetes; Micrococcales; Microbacteriaceae
Description: bacterial SSU rRNA
Rfam family: Bacterial small subunit ribosomal RNA
Source: RNAcentral